RNAcentral lists this ribosomal RNA (492 nucleotides) under uncultured bacterium. Its description in RNAcentral is "partial 16S ribosomal RNA". It matches the Rfam family "Bacterial small subunit ribosomal RNA", at positions 29 to 507 of the family's 1533-position model. The record is from RNAcentral.
AGUGAACGCUGGCGGUAGGCCUAACACAUGCAAGUCGAACGGCAGCACAGUAAGAGCUUGCUCUUACGGGUGGCGAGUGGAGGACGGGUGAGGAAAACCUCGGAAUCUACUUUUUCGUGGGGGAUAACGUAGGGAAACUUACGCUAAUACCGCAUACGACCUACGGGUGAAAGCAGGGGAUCUUCGGACCUUGCGCGAUUGAAUGCCCCUAUGUCGGAUUCGCUAGUUGGCGGGGUAAAGGCCCACCAAGGCGACGAUCCGUAGCUGGUCUGCGAGCAUGAUCAGCCACACUGGAACUGAGACACGGACCAGACUCCUACGGGAGGCAGCAGGGGGGAAUAUUGGACAAUGGGCGCAAGCCUGGUCCAGCCAUACCGCGUGGGUGAAGAAGGCCUUCGGGUUGUAAAGCCCUGUUGUUGGGAAAGAACAGCAGCAGGUUAAUACCCCGCGGUUCUGACGGUACCCAAAGAAUAAGCACCGGCUAACUUCGUG